UACGUAGGGGGCAAGCGUUGUCCGGAUUUAUUGGGCGUAAAGAGCGUGUAGGCGGCUUUACAGGUCCGUUGUGAAAACUCGAGGCUCAACCUCGAGACGCCGGUGGAAACCGUAAGGCUAGAGUCCGGAAGAGGAGAGUGGAAUUCCUGGUGUAGCGGUGAAAUGCGCAGAUAUCAGGAGGAACACCCGUGGCGAAAGCGGCUCUCUGGGACGGUACUGACGCUGAGGCGCGAAAGCUAGGGGAGCGAACAGG
Molecule: ribosomal RNA, 253 nt
Filed under: uncultured bacterium
Lineage: Bacteria
Description: partial 16S ribosomal RNA
Rfam family: Bacterial small subunit ribosomal RNA
Source: RNAcentral